RNAcentral lists this small nucleolar RNA (117 nucleotides) under Nannospalax galili (Upper Galilee mountains blind mole rat). Its description in RNAcentral is "Small nucleolar RNA SNORA67 (ENSNGAG00000006970.1)". It matches the Rfam family "Small nucleolar RNA SNORA67", at positions 27 to 143 of the family's 143-position model. Rfam says of the family: U67 belongs to the H/ACA class of snoRNAs which are thought to guide the sites of modification of uridines to pseudouridines. The record is from Rfam by way of RNAcentral. Lineage: Eukaryota; Metazoa; Chordata; Mammalia; Rodentia; Spalacidae.
AUUAAAACUAAAACCUCCUCAGGAAUGUAUCAACUUGGAAGAAAACUUGGUAUGCCUAAGGUCUUUGGGGAACAAGGGAUACACACUUCCUUUACCUCACUUUGGCUGCUUCCAUGC